Long non-coding RNA from Sceloporus undulatus (fence lizard), 272 nucleotides. RefSeq lists it as uncharacterized. The transcript has 3 exons. The record is from RefSeq and is a predicted model, not a curated record. NCBI's taxonomy places the organism in Eukaryota, Metazoa, Chordata, Lepidosauria, Squamata, Phrynosomatidae.
UCAGAAUUCUGGAAAAAGCUCAGCCAGAGUUACCUGUGAGCCUCCACUGCCAUCUACUGAAAGGCUAAGACUACAAUGAGAUGGACUAUUUGUUUUACUAACCUCUGAGAAGGAGGAAGGUCCUAAUUCAAGCUACUGAAGGCAAAAGGCAGCGAAGACAAUGACAGCAGAUUCUUGGCCAGAUGGAUCAGAGAUGGGAGGAGAAAAGCCUAAUAACCUAUACCCACACUUUGGACUAAUUGCAAUCUCACCAUGCUCCCAGCUAGAAAGAA